UCGGGAAUUUUGGGCAAUGGGCGCAAGCCUGAUCCAGCCAUGCCGCGUGGAUGAUGAAGGCCUUAGGGUUGUAAAAUCCUUUCGUGGGGGACGAUAAUGACGGUACCCCAAGAAGAAGCUCCGGCUAACUUCGUGCCAGCAGCCGCGGUAAUACGAAGGGGGCUAGCGUUGUUCGGAUUUACUGGGCGUAAAGCGCGUGUAGGCGGGUCGUUAAGUUGGGGGUGAAAUCCCGAGGCUCAACCUCGGAACUGCCUUCAAAACUGGCGACCUGGACUCAAGCAGAGGCAAGUGGAAUUGCGAGUGUAGAGGUGAAAUUCGUAGAUAUUCGCAGGAACACCAGUGGCGAAGGCGACUUGCUGGGCUUGUAGUGACGCUGAGACGCGAAAGCGUGGGGAGCAAACAGGAUUAGAUACCCUCGUAGUCCCUGAGCGGGCUGGCAAGGCGCAU
Molecule: ribosomal RNA, 447 nt
Filed under: uncultured bacterium
Lineage: Bacteria
Description: bacterial SSU rRNA
Rfam family: Bacterial small subunit ribosomal RNA
Source: RNAcentral